UGGACAGAUUAUUGUAUUCGACUGUAUUCACGACAUGAAAUAGGGGAUUACACUAUUUUUAAAACGGAAAGUGAAUCAAUUAACAUAAUAGACUCCU
Molecule: microRNA precursor, 97 nt
Filed under: Nicotiana sylvestris (wood tobacco)
Lineage: Eukaryota; Viridiplantae; Streptophyta; Magnoliopsida; Solanales; Solanaceae
Description: MIR6152 microRNA precursor family
Rfam family: MIR6152 microRNA precursor family
Source: Rfam by way of RNAcentral